This 392-nucleotide ribosomal RNA is filed under the name uncultured bacterium. Its description in RNAcentral is "bacterial SSU rRNA". It matches the Rfam family "Bacterial small subunit ribosomal RNA", at positions 30 to 424 of the family's 1533-position model. The record is from RNAcentral.
AUUGAACGCUGGCGGAAUGCUUUACACAUGCAAGUCGAACGGCAGCACGGGUGCUUGCACCUGGUGGCGAGUGGCGAACGGGUGAGUAAUGCACCGGAACGUAUCCAAUAAUGGGGGAUAACGCACCGAAAGGUGUGCUAAUACCGCAUACGCCCUGAGGGGGAAAGCGGGGGAUCGUAAGACCUCGCGUUAAUGGAGCGGCCGAUGCCGGAUUAGCUAGUUGGUGAGGUAAAGGCUCACCAAGGCGACGAUCCGUAGCCGGUCUGAGAGGACGACCAGCCACACUGGAACUGAGACACGGUCCAGACUCCUACGGGAGCAGCAGUGGGAAUUUUGGACAAAUGGGCGCAAGCCUGAUCCAGCCAUUCCGCGUGAGUGAAGAAGGCCUGGUU